This 460-nucleotide ribosomal RNA is filed under the name uncultured bacterium. Its description in RNAcentral is "partial 16S ribosomal RNA". It matches the Rfam family "Bacterial small subunit ribosomal RNA", at positions 338 to 795 of the family's 1533-position model. The record is from RNAcentral.
CCUACGGGGGGCAGCAGUGGGGAAUAUUGGUCAAUGGACGAGAGUCUGAACCAGCCAAGUAGCGUGAAGGAUGACUGCCCUAUGGGUUGUAAACUUCUUUUAUAAAGGAAUAAAACGAGGCACGUGUGCCUUUUUGCAUGUACUUUAUGCAUCAGGAUAGUCAAACUCCGUGCCAGCAGCCGCGGUAAUACGUAGGAUCCGAGCGUUAUCCGGAUUUAUUGGGUGUAAAGGGAGCGUAGAUGGGUUGUUAAGUCAGUUGUGAAAGUUUGCGGCUCAACCGUAAAAUUGCAAUUGAUACUGGGAGUCUUGAGUACAGAUGAGGUAGGCGGAAUUCGUGGUGUAGCGGUGAAAUGCUUAGAUAUCACGAAGAACCCCAAUGGCGAAGGCAGCUGACUAAACUGUGACUGACACUGAGGCUCGAAAGUGUGGGUAGCAAACAGGAUUAGAUACCCGGGUAGUC